GUGUCAGCAGCCGCGGUAAGACGUAGGGCGCGAGCGUUGUCCGGAUUUAUUGGGCGUAAAGAGCUCGUAGGCGGCUUGUCGCGUCGACUGUGAAAACCCGCGGCUUAACUGCGGGACUGCAGUCGAUACGGGCAGGCUAGAGUUCGGUAGGGGAGACUGGAAUUCCUGGUGUAGCGGUGAAAUGCGCAGAUAUCAGGAGGAACACCGGUGGCGAAGGCGGGUCUCUGGGCCGACACUGACGCUGAGGAGCGAAAGCGUGGGGAGCGAACAGGAUUAGAUACCCUCGUAGUCC
This 292-nucleotide ribosomal RNA is filed under the name uncultured bacterium. RNAcentral describes it as "partial 16S ribosomal RNA". It matches the Rfam family "Bacterial small subunit ribosomal RNA", at positions 505 to 796 of the family's 1533-position model. The record is from RNAcentral.